GAUGAACGCUGGCGGCGUGCCUAAUACAUGCAAGUCGAACGAGGUCUUCGGACCGAGUGGCGAACGGGUGAGUAACACGUUGGUACCUACCCCGAAGUGGGGAAUAACUGGCCGAAAGGUCGGCUAAUACCGCAUAAUACCGCAAGGUUAAAGCAGUAAUGCGCUUCGGGAGGGGCCUGCGUCCCGUUAGCUAGUUGGUGAGGUAAUUGCCCACCAAGGCAACGAUGGGUAGCUGGAUCGAGAGGUGACCAGCCACACUGGGACUGAGAUACGGCCCAGACUCCUACGGGAGGCAGCAGUAAGGAAUCUUCCACAAUGGACGAAAGUCUGAUGGAGCAACGCCGCGUGCAGGAUGACGGCC
RNAcentral lists this ribosomal RNA (361 nucleotides) under uncultured bacterium. RNAcentral's name for it is "bacterial SSU rRNA". It matches the Rfam family "Bacterial small subunit ribosomal RNA", at positions 28 to 416 of the family's 1533-position model. The record is from RNAcentral.